GACGAACGCUGGCGGCGUGCUUAACACAUGCAAGUCGAACGAUGAAGCCGGAGCUUGCUCUGGUGAAUUAGUGGCGAACGGGUGAGUAACACGUGAGUAACCUGCCCUUGACUCUGGGAUAACUGCGGGAAACUGUAGCUAAUACCGGAUACGACCCUCGGAGGCAUCUCCUGGGGGUGGAAAGAAUUUCGGUCAAGGAUGGACUCGCGGCCUAUCAGCUAGUUGGUGAGGUAAAGGCUCACCAAGGCGACGACGGGUAGACGGCCUGGGAGGGGGACCGGCCACACUGGGACUGAGACACGGCCCAGACUCCUACGGGAGGCAGCAGUGGGGAAUAUUGCACAAUGGGCGAAAGCCUGAUGCAGCAACGCCGCGUGAGGGAUGACGGCCUUCGGGUUGUAAACCUCUUUUAGUAGGGAAGAAGCGAAAGUGACGGUACCUGCAGAAAAAGCACCGGCUAACUACGUGCCAGCAGCCGCCGUAA
Molecule: ribosomal RNA, 484 nt
Filed under: uncultured bacterium
Lineage: Bacteria
Description: partial 16S ribosomal RNA
Rfam family: Bacterial small subunit ribosomal RNA
Source: RNAcentral